AGUGAACGCUGGCGGUAGGCCUAACACAUGCAAGUCGAACGGCAGCACAGUAAGAGCUUGCUCUUACUGGUGGCGAGUGGCGGACGGGUGAGGAAUACAUCGGAAUCUACUUUUUCGUGGGGGAUAACGUAGGGAAACUUACGCUAAUACCGCAUACUACCUACGGGUGAAAGCAGGGGAUCUUCUGACCUUGCGCGAUUGAAUGAGCCGAUGUCGGAUUAGCUAGUUGGCGGGGUAAAGGCCCACCAAGGCGACGAUCCGUAGCUGGUCUGAGAGGAUGAUCAGCCACACUGGAACUGAGACACGGUCCAGACUCCUACGGGAGGCAGCAGUGGGGAAUAUUGGACAAUGGGCGCAAGCCUGAUCCAGCCAUACCGCGUGGGUGAAGAAGGCCUUCGGGUUGUAAAGCCCUUUUGUUGGGAAAGAAAAGCAGCAGGUUAAUACCCCGCUGUUCUGACGGUACCCAAAGAAUAAGCACCGGCUAACUUCGUG
Molecule: ribosomal RNA, 492 nt
Filed under: uncultured bacterium
Lineage: Bacteria
Description: partial 16S ribosomal RNA
Rfam family: Bacterial small subunit ribosomal RNA
Source: RNAcentral